GACGGAGGGUGCUAGCGUUGUUCGGAAUCACUGGGCGUAAAGGGCGCGUAGGCGGCCGCCCGCGUCGGACGUGAAAGCCCGGGGCUCAACCCCGGAACGGCGUCCGAUACGGGGCGGCUCGAGGCCGGGAGAGGGGGGUGGAAUACCCAGUGUAGAGGUGAAAUUCGUAGAUAUUGGGUGGAACACCGGUGGCGAAAGCGGCCCCCUGGCCCGGUCCUGACGCUGAGGCGCGAAAGCGUGGGGAGCAAACAGG
This 253-nucleotide ribosomal RNA is filed under the name uncultured bacterium. Its description in RNAcentral is "partial 16S ribosomal RNA". It matches the Rfam family "Bacterial small subunit ribosomal RNA", at positions 524 to 776 of the family's 1533-position model. The record is from RNAcentral.